AUAAUAACCAGACAGAAGGGCUAUCUUCGGCACGCCGAAGAUUUAAUACUCUUGCAGACCCAACCUUUUCAUAAUGCUCAUAGUGCUUUGCCCGUAUCUAAGAAGCACAGGGAAAAUAGUUAAUGCCGAGUAUGGUUAAAAUGUCAUGAAAAAAAAAGUUUCCAUACAACAACUUAAUUUCGACCAUUCGUUCCUAUGGCAGCUAUAUGAUAAAGUGGUCCGAUCUUAAUAGGAUUUUGCAUAUAUAUGAGGAUUAUAGAAAAACUAAUAAAUGCCGAGUUUGAUCAAGAUAUCUUUAUAAGCAAAAAUGUUUUUCAUGCAAGAACCUACUUUUCGACCGAUCGUUCCUAUGGUAGCUAUAUGAUUUAGUGGUCCGAUCCAGCUGGUUUUGACAUAUGUACUGCGUGCAACAGAAAGAGGCACUUCUGAAAAGUUUCAUAAAGAUAGCUUUCAAACUGAGAGAGACUAGUUCGCAUAGAAACAGACCGACGGACAUGGCUAUAUCAACUCGCCUGUUGAUACUGAUCAAGAAUAUAUAUACUUUAUGGGCUCGGAAAUGCCUACUUCUAUGCGUUACACAUUUCACGACAAAAUUAUAAUACCCUAUGCAAGGGUAUAAACAGCAAGAGAGCAACAGAAAGUGUCCGUAAAUUUUGCGCGAUUUUUUUAUACAACUUCUAAUAAAAUUUCGGAAAUGUGAAAAGAAAAGUAAAUCGAAGAACGUGCUUUGGAGUAGAUUUUGUGGAAUUCAAUCAAGUAACACAAGAGCGCGCGAGCAUCAACUUCCAAUAAAAUGCACUAUAUGGCGACUGGAAAAUCAAAAGUUGUUCAAUUGGAGUAUUCGUAUUGGAAUCAACUGAAGCAAUAAUUAAAUAAUUUCUCAACAUCAAGGCGCAAUUGCUUAUUAAUUAACGUCGCUUAAAUACUUCAAAAUUCUGUUGGCAAAGUAACAGAGAGCAGACGGACCACAUGACGCAUGGUAAAUGAUUUGCUCAAGCGAAUAUGAAGCAAAUUGAAAUCGCUUAAUUUAUUUGACAUGAAUUGAAAAUCAAGCGAAAUGCCAUUAAACCGCAUAUACGCAUAGCACACAAUCGGAAUUCAGGCAAAGGACUCGCAAUUAUGGCACGUCAAAACCGGAAAUGGUAAAGUGGCAAAGCGGAAAUGGCAGGCACCAAAAUGCAAAUUUCUAUAAAAAGGAAAUUAUAAAAAUAUUUGCCCAGUUGUUUGGCAAAAAAAAAAAAAAAGAAGAAGGAAAUAUUUCUUUAACUGUGGCAACAGAAAUUGCACGUGGGCCGUUUGUCUGCGCUGUGCUCCCAGCUGAAUCCACUUGAAAGGACUCUACCCACUUGGGCCAAAAGGCUCGACGCCAAGGUGGGGCAAUUCAAGUGGAGCGUCUGGCGUAAAGUUUUUUGCAUUCGGCUUCUUCAGGUUUUUUAUUUUUUGGCCAGAUACUACAAAUAAGAAGUAGCUCUAUAUAUGCAGAGAGUGCGGCUUGUCGGCGACAGCAAGUGAAAGCCGUCAAGAUGAGAUUGGAAAGUCUUGUAAUAGGCAUGUGGCCAAAUAUCACCAAAUGGAUGCGCAACCCUCAACGUCGGGGCCUGCUACUGCGAAUUUCAAAUUCGAACAUAAAAGU
This is a long non-coding RNA of Drosophila montana, 1633 nucleotides long. RefSeq lists it as uncharacterized. The transcript is spliced from 4 exons. The record is from RefSeq and is a predicted model, not a curated record. NCBI's taxonomy places the organism in Eukaryota, Metazoa, Arthropoda, Insecta, Diptera, Drosophilidae.